AGCCUCCACCAGCUCCCCUGCAAAAGUCCAGUGAUGCAGACGUAAUGGAUGUUGGCUCUGGUGGUGUUGGACAGUCAGA
Molecule: microRNA precursor, 79 nt
Filed under: Notamacropus eugenii (tammar wallaby)
Lineage: Eukaryota; Metazoa; Chordata; Mammalia; Diprotodontia; Macropodidae
Description: microRNA 1306 (ENSMEUG00000017568.1)
Rfam family: mir-1306 microRNA precursor family
Source: RNAcentral